GACGAACGCUGGCGGCGUGCUUAACACAUGCAAGUCGAACGGAAAGGCCCUGCUUUUGUGGGGUGCUCGAGUGGCGAACGGGUGAGUAACACGUGAGAAACCUGCCCUUGACUUUGGGAUAACUUCAGGAAACUGGGGCUAAUACCGGAUAGGAGCUCCUGCUGCAUGGUGGGGGUUGGAAAGUUUCGGCGGUUGGGGAUGGACUCGCGGCUUAUCAGCUUGUUGGUGGGGUAGUGGCUUGCCAAGGCUUUGACGGGUAGCCGGCCUGAGAGGGUGACCGGCCACAUUGGGACUGAGAUACGGCCCAGACUCCUACGGGAGGCAGCAGUGGGGAAUAUUGCACAAUGGGCGGAAGCCUGAUGCAGCAACGCCGCGUGCGGGAUGACGGCCUUCGGGUUGUAAACCGCUUUCGCCUGUGACGAAGCGUGAGUGACGGUAAUGGGUAAAGAAGCACCGGCUAACUACGUG
This 468-nucleotide ribosomal RNA is filed under the name uncultured bacterium. RNAcentral's name for it is "partial 16S ribosomal RNA". It matches the Rfam family "Bacterial small subunit ribosomal RNA", at positions 28 to 507 of the family's 1533-position model. The record is from RNAcentral.